GCCGAGCUCUCUGAGUGGCCAACGACGUGCGUCGCGACGUAGGUCGCAUUGGUCGCUGUGUGGGUCGCUCGUCUGGCUGCUUUCAGUCGCUGUGGUCACUGGCUGGCUCGCUCAAAGUCUAUAUAAUCAGUUGAUUUGCAUGUUAUUAACUUUUUUUUUGCGUCAGUUGAAGUACCAGAAAGCCAUGCUCUCUGGCGAAAGCUACCUAAAGCUCUUUAGUGCUAAUAUUGUUUUAAUAUUUUUCUAUUUAAGUACAGUUUAAA
This is a long non-coding RNA of Gadus macrocephalus (Pacific cod), 263 nucleotides long. RefSeq lists it as uncharacterized. The record is from RefSeq and is a predicted model, not a curated record. The transcript has 2 exons. Lineage: Eukaryota; Metazoa; Chordata; Actinopteri; Gadiformes; Gadidae.